Molecule: ribosomal RNA, 620 nt
Filed under: uncultured fungus
Lineage: Eukaryota; Fungi
Description: eukaryotic LSU rRNA
Rfam family: 5.8S ribosomal RNA (bases 184-337)
Source: RNAcentral
UCCGUAGGUGAACCUGCGGAAGGAUCAUUAGUGAAUCUAGGACGUCCAACUUAACUUGGAGUCCGAACUCUCACUUUCUAACCCUGUGCAUCUGUUAAUUGGAAUAGUAGCUCUUCGGAGUGAACCACCAUUCACUUAUAAAACACAAAGUCUAUGAAUGUAUACAAAUUUAUAACAAAACAAAACUUUCAACAACGGAUCUCUUGGCUCUCGCAUCGAUGAAGAACGCAGCGAAAUGCGAUACGUAAUGUGAAUUGCAGAAUUCAGUGAAUCAUCGAAUCUUUGAACGCACCUUGCGCUCCUUGGUAUUCCGAGGAGCAUGCCUGUUUGAGUGUCAUGAAAACCCUCAACCCUAGAUUGGUUAAAACCUUUCUUUGGUUUGGAUUUGGACGUUUGCCGAUGAUAAGUCGGCUCGUCUUAAAAGUAAUAGCUGGAUCUGUCUCGCGACAUGGUUUGACUUGGCGUAAUAAGUAUUUCGCUAAGGACAUCUUCGGAUGGCCGCGUUGCAGGACUAAAGACCGCUUUCUAAUCCAUUGAUCUUCGGAUUAAUACUCUUGACAUCUGGCCUCAAAUCAGGUAGGACUACCCGCUGAACUUAAGCAUAUCAAUAAGCGGAGGAA